This 548-nucleotide ribosomal RNA is filed under the name uncultured bacterium. RNAcentral describes it as "partial 16S ribosomal RNA". It matches the Rfam family "Bacterial small subunit ribosomal RNA", at positions 355 to 895 of the family's 1533-position model. The record is from RNAcentral.
UGGGGAAUUUUGGACAAUGGGCGCAAGCCUGAUCCAGCCAUGCCGCGUGCGGGAAGAAGGCCUUCGGGUUGUAAACCGCUUUUGUCAGGGAAGAAAUCUUCUGAGUUAAUACCUCGGGAGGAUGACGGUACCUGAAGAAUAAGCACCGGCUAACUACGUGCCAGCAGCCGCGGUAAUACGUAGGGUGCAAGCGUUAAUCGGAAUUACUGGGCGUAAAGCGUGCGCAGGCGGUUUUGUAAGACAGAGGUGAAAUCCCCGGGCUCAACCUGGGAACUGCCUUUGUGACUGCAAGGCUUGAGUGCGGCAGAGGGGGAUGGAAUUCCGCGUGUAGCAGUGAAAUGCGUAGAUAUGCGGAGGAACACCGAUGGCGAAGGCAAUCCCCUGGACCUGCACUGACGCUCAUGCACGAAAGCGUGGGGAGCAAACAGGAUUAGAUACCCUGGUAGUCCACGCCCUAAACCGAUGUCAACUGGUUGUUGGGAAGGUUCCUUCUCAGUAACGUAGCUAACGCGUGAAGUUGACCGCCUGGGGAGUACGGCCGCAAGGUU